This 497-nucleotide ribosomal RNA is filed under the name uncultured bacterium. RNAcentral describes it as "partial 16S ribosomal RNA". It matches the Rfam family "Bacterial small subunit ribosomal RNA", at positions 28 to 507 of the family's 1533-position model. The record is from RNAcentral.
GAUGAACGCUGGCGGCGUGCCUAAUACAUGCAAGUCGAGCGAACAGACGAGGAGCUUGCUCCUCUGUCGUUAGCGGCGGACGGGUGAGUAACACGUGGAUAACCUACCUAUAAGACUGGGAUAACUUCGGGAAACCGGAGCUAAUACCGGAUAAUAUAUUGAACCGCAUGGUUCAAUAGUGAAAGACGGUUUUGCUGUCACUUAUAGAUGGAUCCGCGCCGCAUUAGCUAGUUGGUAAGGUAACGGCUUACCAAGGCAACGAUGCGUAGCCGACCUGAGAGGGUGCUAGGCCCCCCGGGAACGGAGCCACGGUCCAGACCCCUACGGGAGGCAGCAGUCGGGAAUCGUGAGCCAUGCGCGCAGGCCUGCAGCAGCCCCGGGCAGUGCGUGAUGAGGGUGUCCGCAUCGUAAAACUCUGUUAUCAGGGCCGACCAAAUGUGUCCGUACAUAUGCCCGUCUUGACGGUCCCCAAUCAGAAAGCCACGCCUACUUACGUC